UACAGAGACUGCGAGCGUUAUUCGGAUUCACUGGGCGUAAAGGGUGCGCAGGCGGCCAAAUGUGUGAGGCGUGAAAGCCCGGGGCUUAACCCCGGAAUUGCACCUCAAACUAUUUGGCUAGAGCAUUGGAGAGGGAAGCGGAAUUCACGGUGUAGCAGUGAAAUGCGUAGAUAUCGUGAGGAACACCAGAGGCGAAGGCGGCUUCCUGGACCGACACUGACGCUGAGGCGCGAAAGCCAGGGGAGCAAACGGG
This 253-nucleotide ribosomal RNA is filed under the name uncultured bacterium. RNAcentral describes it as "partial 16S ribosomal RNA". It matches the Rfam family "Bacterial small subunit ribosomal RNA", at positions 524 to 776 of the family's 1533-position model. The record is from RNAcentral.